AGAGCCUGCCUUUCAGGCAUCCUCUCCCAAAAACUUCGAUGACCCGGGCGGUUUCGUCCGGGUCUUUUUUUGCUUCGUU
Molecule: small RNA, 79 nt
Filed under: Novosphingobium kunmingense
Lineage: Bacteria; Pseudomonadati; Pseudomonadota; Alphaproteobacteria; Sphingomonadales; Sphingomonadaceae
Description: Makes More Granules Regulator RNA (mmgR)
Rfam family: Makes More Granules Regulator RNA (mmgR)
About the family: SuhB later renamed mmgR (makes more granules regulator) was a putative non-coding RNA found multiple times in the Agrobacterium tumefaciens genome and related alpha-proteobacteria. Other non-coding RNAs uncovered in the same analysis include: speF, ybhL, metA, and serC.
Source: Rfam by way of RNAcentral